UUUCUGUGAUGUUAUAGCCAGAACACUGCACAACUGAGGAAUGCAUCCAGCAUGUGAUGAAGAAGUGAAUCUGAUCACACGGGGAUGAAUAUAUACAGGUCUUCUCCUGGCUUCAACACCAACCUUGGUUGCAGCUGCGAAGAUGUGCUGAGCCCACCGAGGCCUCUGACACGGGAAGGACCUGGGCACCGGGUGCCCGCAGUGCUGCUCGGCUCCCAGCAGGAGGUGGGGAGGGACAGCAAAACUUCAGUCUCAAGGCAUGAGGUUUGGACGUGGCUGAGGAGACGAAAUGUUAGCUACUGGCAGGUGAGGAGACAAUCUUUUGAGCAUUCAUUUGGAAUAUUAGCUCUUAGACCGCAUGGCAGCAUGAAACAGCUGCGGACUGCAGGUGUCCUACCAGCAACUAAUGGCAGGUUAAGCUAUAAGCUAAUGACACACGGAAAAGGAGUCUUGCAAUGCCAGCAGCAAAUCAGCCCGCUCUGUAGUACCUUCAGACCGCCAACCCCUCGGGUACCAGCCACACUGCCAUGUCCUGCUGACGUGCCAAGGCACUGCUAG
RNAcentral lists this long non-coding RNA (558 nucleotides) under Phasianus colchicus (ring-necked pheasant). RNAcentral's name for it is "lncRNA (ENSPCLG00000012625.1)". Lineage: Eukaryota; Metazoa; Chordata; Aves; Galliformes; Phasianidae. The record is from RNAcentral.